CCUUGCAACUAGCUUAUCCAAUAAACCAAUUAGACUUAAUCCAAUUAAAUCCAAACCAAUUCUAAUUGAAUCAAAUUCAAUUAGAUUUAAUCUCAGCCCAAUUGCUCAAUCAAAUUGAGCCUAUUAGCAAUCCAAUUGCUAAUUGAUCCUCCUACAACACUUGCAUUAGGUCAAACAUCAAUCACAUUCAUCGUUUAACCUUAGAAUGAUUCUUAAUCGUCGAUUAACCAUCUGAUUAGGUUACAACCUCUUAUGUAUGUGACCCUAUAGGUUUGAACCUAAGUCAGUAGCAUAGAAACCAAUUUCUGUACCAAUCGAAGUAACCAUCUAGCAAUGAUUCCCGAUGUCUAGAUAGGUCGAAUGUAUGCAAAGCAAUAUUCUAAGAACCCUGACCCAUGGUUACCAUAUAAUUCAUCUUUUUGACCAAUAAUGCUCA
RNAcentral lists this long non-coding RNA (436 nucleotides) under Elaeis guineensis (African oil palm). Its description in RNAcentral is "long non-coding RNA (EGUI_LNC046431)". The record is from RNAcentral. Lineage: Eukaryota; Viridiplantae; Streptophyta; Magnoliopsida; Arecales; Arecaceae.